RNAcentral lists this ribosomal RNA (440 nucleotides) under uncultured bacterium. Its description in RNAcentral is "partial 16S ribosomal RNA". It matches the Rfam family "Bacterial small subunit ribosomal RNA", at positions 338 to 795 of the family's 1533-position model. The record is from RNAcentral.
CCUACGGGAGGCAGCAGUGGGGAAUAUUGCACAAUGGGGGGAACCCUGAUGCAGCGACGCCGCGUGGGUGAGGAAGUACUUCGGUAUGUAAAGCCCUAUCAGCAGGGAAGAAAAUGACGGUACCUGACUAAGAAGCCCCGGCUAACUACGUGCCAGCAGCCGCGGUAAUACGUAGGGGGCAAGCGUUAUCCGGAUUUACUGGGUGUAAAGGGAGCGUAGACGGCGUGCCAAGUCUGGUGUGAAAGGCCGGGGCUCAACCCCGGGACUGCAUUGGAAACUGGCAUGCUAGAGUGCAGGAGGGGUAAGUGGAAUUCCUAGUGUAGCGGUGGAAUGCGUAGAUAUUAGGAGGAACAUCAGGGGCGAAGGCGACUUACUGGACUGUAACUGACACUGAGGCACGAAAGCGUGGGGAGCAAACAGGAUUAGAUACCCCAGUAGUC